This 420-nucleotide ribosomal RNA is filed under the name Adenomera andreae group sp. ABGD cluster 3. Its description in RNAcentral is "partial large subunit ribosomal RNA". It matches the Rfam family "Bacterial large subunit ribosomal RNA", at positions 1835 to 2457 of the family's 2925-position model. The record is from RNAcentral. Lineage: Eukaryota; Metazoa; Chordata; Amphibia; Anura; Leptodactylidae.
UUUGCUUAAAAUAAGAGGUCCAGCCUGCCCAGUGACACUGUUCAACGGCCGCGGUAUCCUAACCGUGCGAAGGUAGCGUAAUCACUUGUUCUUUAAAUGAGGACUAGUAUGAAAGGCACCACGAGAGUCAUACUGUCUCCUCUCUCCAAUCAGUUAAACUAAUCUCCCCGUGAAGAAGCGGGGAUAACCAUAUAAGACGAGAAGACCCUAUGGAGCUUUAAACGAAUAACACUUGCCCACCUCUCCUUUAAUUUCAGAAAAAUCUACUACCUUGGCAUUAUACUUAUAAGUUUUUGAUUGGGGUGAUCACGGAACAAAAAAUAACCUCCGCAAUGAAAGACUCUCCACAGCUAAGUCAAGAACCACAACUCUACACAUCAACAAAUUGACACAAUUGACCCAAUUUAUUGAUCAAUGAAC